AUGCUCAAGCUCAAAAUCUUAGGGCUUGCGGCAAUCGACCGCGCAAGGAAGCGCCAAGCUUCCAGGAUCACAUGGCUGCGUGCUGGAGAUGCGCCCUCAGCUUUCUUCCAGGUGAAGAUCAAUGCUAGGAAGCGAAAGGCAUUCAUCCACACUCUACGUGGGCCAUCUGGAGUUGCCACCUCGCAGGAGGACAAGGCAAACAUGAUCCAUGAUCAUUUCUCCUCCCUACUGGGCACGACAGCGCACCGCGACACCACCAUCAACUGGCAUUCCCUAGCCAUGGCCAGGCUACAAGGCGGAGGGCUCGACAACCCUUUCACAGAGGAGGAAGUG
RNAcentral lists this ribosomal RNA (333 nucleotides) under Triticum aestivum (bread wheat). RNAcentral's name for it is "partial small subunit ribosomal RNA". The record is from RNAcentral. Lineage: Eukaryota; Viridiplantae; Streptophyta; Magnoliopsida; Poales; Poaceae.